AUAUAUAUAUCAACCUUCUCUUGUUGAGUGGUUUGGAUGUGGGGGUUUGCUGAGCUCUUAAAGGGUUCAGCUCUCCUGAAAUGCAUUAGCAGGACGACCCUUGUUCAUUGGUGUGAUAACUAUCUACGCUAUUGAAUGUAAGGGGCAGUUCAGCUUUCUAACAGUCCUCGGACAAUUCAUCAUUA
This 185-nucleotide unclassified non-coding RNA is filed under the name uncultured Cortinarius. Its description in RNAcentral is "sequence contains ITS2". The record is from RNAcentral. Lineage: Eukaryota; Fungi; Basidiomycota; Agaricomycetes; Agaricales; Cortinariaceae.